UUUCUCUUUAAUUUUAUUAAGCGAAUUGCAUUUGAUUUUGCAUAAAAUUUGUAACAGUUCAUUGUAUACAAAUCAGAUAGAAGAAGGACAGGCAGCAGCGAAACAGAGAAAGGAAAACAAAACAAAAUUGAAAACUGUAUUUUAUAAUUAAAUACUAACAUUAUAUUUCGUAAAUGGAAAAAAAAACAACCCAAAUUUCAAGCAGGUGUCAACUUUAGCCCACCUUUUAAAAACAAAAAUCAACAACAACAACAACAACCUAUAAGUAGAUUAAAAAACUACAACUAAACUUAAAAACCUCACUUAAAACUAACCUAAAAGAAAGGCGAAAUCAACUAAAAAGAAAAAUAAAUCAAAAACACAAAAAAAAAAACAACACUAAAAAUGAAUGUAAUGAAACGUAAAUACCAUAAAUUAUACAACACUCAAGUGUUCAAUUCGAGGGUCGAAAUAAGAGUUUUCCAUAGGUGUAUAUAUACACACAGACACACACACAUGAGGUCUCACACAAGCACACAUACAUAUGUAUUUUAUUUGUACUCUCUGUGUAUAACAGCUAAGAAACAACUGUUAUACCUGCCAAGUCGAGCCAGCGAUGAGACGCAGACAACUUUGUAGUAUAACUUAACUGAAAAAAAAAAACGAAACAAAAAGAAUAUUAAAAUACACACACACACACACACACACAUACACAUAUAUAGUCCUACGAAUAUAUAGUUUAUAUUUAAGUUGUGUCUCUCACCUAAAUGCCAAGCAAGCAAUGUUAGUGUACAGCUGUGUAUAAUAGUUUUCGAGAAUUGAGAAUUUGAGAUUACGAGUAUAUUAUAUAUGAAACUGAAUUGUUACUAUUGUUUGAGCGAGAGAGGAGGAGAAAGAGUCCACGAUAGAUAGAUAGAGCGAGAGAGAGAGAGAGUAGAGGAGGAGAUGAGAGGAGAGCAUUGUAAUCUGUUUGCCUUGAAACAAAAACAAAAAAUAACGGUGCUGAAAUGUUAAUUUUUAUAUAACGAAAAAAACAAGCAACAAGUGUUACAUAAAAGUGUUAUAUUAAAAGAAAAGUUAUAAAAAAAUGAUGAAGAUAGAAUCGAGAAACGUUAACAAGCUGUUAUAUAAAUCACAACAUAUGUAUACACACACACAUAUAUAUAUAUGUAUAACACAUUACAAUAUGCGGCCCCAUUUCAGGCCGAAAUGCGGGCCAAAUGUUAUUUCAUUCAUAGUUUAAAUGUUGGCGUUUCGUACAUACAUCAAUGUACAUUAAUUAAUGUACCGAACUUGUCAUUAUUAUUUCCCCAUACGUUUUCUUUCCUAUAAUUUACACAGCAAACAUAAACUAGAUGUAUAUGCCUAUACAUACAAAUAUAUAGUGUAAAACAGUUAAUUUUCCAUAGCUGCUAAAAUCGUAACUGAAGUAACUGAAUCGGAG
Molecule: long non-coding RNA, 1423 nt
Organism: Drosophila navojoa
Lineage: Eukaryota; Metazoa; Arthropoda; Insecta; Diptera; Drosophilidae
Source: RefSeq, a predicted model, not a curated record